RNAcentral lists this ribosomal RNA (409 nucleotides) under uncultured bacterium. RNAcentral describes it as "bacterial SSU rRNA". It matches the Rfam family "Bacterial small subunit ribosomal RNA", at positions 30 to 438 of the family's 1533-position model. The record is from RNAcentral.
AUUGAACGCUGGCGGCGUGCUUAACACAUGCAAGUCGUGCGGUAACAGGCGUAGCAAUACGUGCUGACGAGCGGCGAACGGGUGCGUAAUACAUGGGAAUCUGCCCUUUAGUGGGGAAUAACCCGGCGAAAGCCGGGCUAAUGCCGCAUAAGAUCUUCGGAUGAAAGCGGGGGAUCGUAAGACCUCGCGCUGAUGGAUGAGCCCAUGUCGGAUUAGCAGUUGGUGAGGUAACGGCUCACCAAGGCGACGAUCCGUAGCUGGUCUGAGGGGACGGCCAGCCACACUGGGACUGAGACACGGCCCAGACUCCUACGGGAGGCAGCAGUGGGGAAUAUUGGACAAUGGGCGAAAGCCUGAUCCAGCGACGCCGCGUGUGUGAAGAAGGCCUGCGGGUUGUAAAGCACUUUCG